Molecule: ribosomal RNA, 492 nt
Filed under: uncultured bacterium
Lineage: Bacteria
Description: partial 16S ribosomal RNA
Rfam family: Bacterial small subunit ribosomal RNA
Source: RNAcentral
AUUGAACGCUGGCGGCAUGCUUUACACAUGCAAGUCGAACGGUAACAGGCCUUCGGGUGCUGACGAGUGGCGAACGGGUGAGUAAUGCAUCGGAACGUACCCAGAGGUGGGGGAUAACGCAGCGAAAGCCGUGCUAAUACCGCAUGUGAUCUGAGGAUGAAAGCGGGGGACCGAGCAGCAAUGUUUGGCCUCGCGCCUUUGGAGCGGCCGAUGUCGGAUUAGCUAGUUGGUGGGGUAAAGGCCUACCAAGGCGACGAUCCGUAGCUGGUCUGAGAGGACGACCGGCCACACUGGGACUGAGACACGGCCCAGACUCCUACGGGAGGCAGCAGUGGGGAAUUUUGGACAAUGGGCGCAAGCCUGAUCCAGCAAUGCCGCGUGCGGGAAGAAGGCCUUCGGGUUGUAAACCGCUUUUGGCAGGAACGAAACGGUGUCCGCUAAUACCGGGCGCUAAUGACGGUACCUGCAGAAUAAGCACCGGCUAACUACGUG